Long non-coding RNA from Trichomycterus rosablanca, 1012 nucleotides. RefSeq lists it as uncharacterized. The transcript has 2 exons. The record is from RefSeq and is a predicted model, not a curated record. NCBI's taxonomy places the organism in Eukaryota, Metazoa, Chordata, Actinopteri, Siluriformes, Trichomycteridae.
UUCCUGUACUGCUGGAACGGUUCUACAAGCACGUUUGUACAAUCGUUAUUAAACCGUUUUGGUGUGACCAGUAAAACCAGAAACAUCAGGAUGGUGUUUGUUCUUCAGCUUAACAGCUGUUAUUAUCCCGGCUGCGGUUCUGUGCUGUUGACCCACACCGAGUCGGAUCCUGAUAAGAGUUUAAUCAUCAGACUGAAGUGUAGCAGAACAUUAACUACAAUAUGUGGGCUAAAGUAUUGGGACUCGUCUUCUAAUUACUGAAUUCAUGUGUUUCAGCCUGAACAAUCGCAAUCGCUAACAAGUGAAAUUAAUCAAUUAUAUAAAGAAAAGAAAAUGCUUCUGACUUUGCAGCAACAGUUUAGGGAAGGUCCCUUUCUGUACCAGCCUGUGCACAAAGCGAGCUUAAUAAAGACAUGAAGAAAAGCUCCAUAUAAAAUCAAGAAACUCCAGUGUCCUGUCCUCAGCCCCAUUCAACAGCUGUAAAAUGAACCGGAACAGCCAUACAAAUGCUCAUCUUCUGACUGAACGGUAGGGCUGCGACGAUUAGUCGGCGUAAUCGAUGACGUCGACUAUAAAAAUUUGUCGGCGUGGAAUUUAGUUGUCGACGAGUCGUUAGUAUUGCAAUGCACUAAAGGGACUGCAGGGGGCGCAGCAUCGCUUCCAUGGCGCAGCGGCAAAGAUAAAGAGACCGAAACUUUCUAAAGUAUUUCAGCCAAAAUAACCCAAAGAAACGAGCUGGACGCAGACACUACAGAGCAGAGUUAUGUUUUCACACCAGCAACACGGUGAAACGCCUUGCAGCGUUAUUACGCAGUAAGCAAUGGAGUGUUGAUGAGAAGAGAAGGGGUUCAUGCACCCCUCAGAUGGCUGAGAUCUUCACAGACAGCAUUCACACGUUUCUCAACCACAUGUUAUAAAUGUUUUUUGACUUCCAGAGUGAUAACUUCUGAAACAUAACAGUUUCUAAUGCUGUCCAAAGCUUUCUUAUUAAAUUGAAUUUUUUUUAUUGUGA